AUUGAACGCUGGCGGCAUGCCUUACACAUGCAAGUCGAACGGUAACGGGUCCUUCGGGAUGCCGACGAGUGGCGAACGGGUGAGUAAUAUAUCGGAACGUGCCCAGUAGUGGGGGAUAACUGCUCGAAAGAGCAGCUAAUACCGCAUACGACCUGAGGGUGACAGGGGGGGGAUCGCAAGACCUCUCGAUCUUGGAUCGGCCGAUAUCAGAUUAGCUCGUUGGUGGGGUAAAGGCCUACCAAGGCAACGAUCUGUAGUUGGUCUGAGAGGACGACCAGCCACACUGGGACUGAGACACGGCCCAGACUCCUACGGGAGUCAGCAGUGGGUAAUUUUGGACAAUGGGCGCAAGCCUGAUCCAGCAAUGCCGCGUGCAGGAAGAAGGCCUUCGGGUUGUAAACUGCUUUUGUCAGGGAAGAAAUCUUCUGGGCUAAUACCCCGGGAGGAUGACGGUACCUGAAGAAUAAGCACCGGCUAACUACGUGCCAGCCGCCGCAGUAA
RNAcentral lists this ribosomal RNA (501 nucleotides) under uncultured bacterium. RNAcentral's name for it is "partial 16S ribosomal RNA". It matches the Rfam family "Bacterial small subunit ribosomal RNA", at positions 30 to 523 of the family's 1533-position model. The record is from RNAcentral.